Molecule: non-coding RNA, 298 nt
Organism: Colinus virginianus (northern bobwhite)
Lineage: Eukaryota; Metazoa; Chordata; Aves; Galliformes; Odontophoridae
Source: Rfam
GUGGGCUUUUGGCACAUGCCUGUAUUCCCAGCUACUCAGGAGACUGAGCUCGCUGGAUUGCUUGAGCCCAGGAGUUCUGGGCUGCAGUGCGCUAUGCCGAGCGGGCGUCCGCGCUAAGGCCAGCAUCAAUACGGUGAGCGUCAGGGAGCCGGGGCACACCAGGUUCCCUAAGGAGUGGUGAACCGGCCCAGGUCGGAAACGGAGCAGGUCAAAACUCCCAUGCUGGGCAGUAGCGGGAUCGCGCCUGUGAAUACCCACUGCAGCGUAGCAUGGGCAACACAGAGAGAUGCAGGCUUCU